Non-coding RNA from Chlorocebus sabaeus (green monkey), 1311 nucleotides. The record is from RefSeq and is a predicted model, not a curated record. Lineage: Eukaryota; Metazoa; Chordata; Mammalia; Primates; Cercopithecidae.
CCAGCUUCCUUCAAAAUGUGUACUAUUCACAAAAUCCUGUGCAAGCUCAGCUUGGAGAGUGAUCACUCCCUCCAAGUGCAUUGGAUCAAUCAAAGCCUCCGGGUGCUUUGAACAUUGAAAGAACCAUCAAGACCGAAGGUGUGGAUGAGGUCACCAUUGUCAACAUCUUGACCAACAGGAGGAAUGCUCAGAGACAGGAUAGCGCUUUUGCCUGGCAGAGAAGGACCAAAAAGGAACUUGCAUCAGCACUGAAGUCAGCCUUAUCUGGCCACCUGGAGAUCAUGAUUUGGGGCUUAUUGAACACACCUGCUCAGUAUGAUGCUUCUGAGCUAAAAGCUUCCAUGAAGGGGCUGGGAACCGACGAGGACUCCCUCGUUGAGAUCAUCUGCUCAACAACCAACCAGGAGCUCCAGGAAAUUAACAGAGUUUACAAGGAAAUGUACAAAACUGAUCUGGAGAAGGACAUUAUUUUGGACACAUAUGGUGACUUCCUCUAGCUGAUGGUUGCCCUGGCAAACGUUAGAAGAGCAGGGGAUGGCUCUGUCAUUGAUUAUGAACUGAUUGACCAAGAUGCCUGGGAUUUCUGUGACGCUGGAGUGAAGAGGAAAGGAACUGAUGUUCCCAAGUGGAUCAGCAUCAUGACCGAGCAGACCGUGUCCCACCUCCAGAAAGUAUUUGAUAGGUACAAGAGCUACAGCCCAUCAAGAGAGAGCAUCAAGAAAGAGGUUACAGGAGACCUGGAAAAUGCUUUAUUGAACCUGGUCCAGUGCAUUCAGAACAAGCCCCUGUAUUUUGCUGAUCGAGUGUACUACUCCAUGAAGGGCAAGGGGAUUUGAGAUAAGGCCCUGAUCAGAAUCAUAGUCUCCCGCAGUGAAGUGGACAUGUUGAAAAUUAGGCCUGAAUUCAAGAGAAAGUAUGGCAAGUCCCUGUACUGUUACAUUCAGCAAGAUACUAAGGGUGACUACCCAGAAAGCACUGCUGUAGUUGUGCGGUGGAGAUGACUGAAGCCCAACAUAGCUUGAGCUUCCAGAAAUGGUGCUCCCCAUACUUCCAGCUAACAGGUCUAGAAAACCAGCUCGUGACUAACAGUCCCUGUGGCUGUCCCUGUGAGGAUGACGUUAGCAUUGUCCCCAACCUCAUUUUAGUUGCCUAAGCAUAGCCUGGCUUUCCUGUCUAGUCUCUCCUGUAAGCCAAAGAAAUGAACAUUCCAGGGAAUUGGAAGUGAAGUCUAUGGUGUGAAACACUUUGCCUCCUGUGUACUGUGUCAGAAACAGAUGAAUAAACUGAAUUUGUACUUUAGAAACAAAAAAA